CGAACGAACUUUCGGGUGAGUGGCGUCCGGGUGAGUAACGCGUGAGAAUCUGCCUUCAGGAGGGGACAACAGUUGGAAACGACUGCUAAUACCGAAUAUGCCGAAGGUGAAAAAAAUUGCCUGAAGAGGAGCUCGCGUCCGAUUAGCUAGUUGGUGGGUAAAGCUACCAAGGCAGCGAUCGGUAGCUGGUCUGAGAGGAUGAGCAGCCACACUGGGACUGAGACACGGCCCAGACUCCUACGGGAGGCAGCAGUGGGGAAUUUUCCGCAAUGGGCGAAAGCCUGACGGAGCAAACCGCGUGAGGGAGGAAGGCUCUUGGGUUGUAAACCUCUUUUUUCAAGGAAGUGACGGUACUUGAAGAAUAAGCAUCGGCUAACUCCGUGCCAGCAGCCGCGGUAAUACGGAGGAUGCAAGCGUUAUCCGGAAUCAUUGGGCGUAAAGCGUCCGCAGGUGGCUUUCAAGUCUGUUGUUAAAGUAAGCUUAACUUGGAAAGGCAAUGGAAACUGGGCUAGAGUUGGUAGGGGUUGAGGGAAUUCCCAGUGUAGCGGUGAAAUGCGUAGAUAUUGGGAAGAACACCAGUGGCGAAGGCGCUCAACUGGGCCUACUGACACUCAGGGACGAAAGCUAGGGGAGCGAAAGGGAUUAAAUACCCCUGUAGUCCUAGCUGUAAACGAUGAACACUAGGCGUUGCUGUAUCGACCCGGCAGUGCCGUA
This 714-nucleotide ribosomal RNA is filed under the name uncultured Stanieria sp. RNAcentral's name for it is "bacterial SSU rRNA". It matches the Rfam family "Bacterial small subunit ribosomal RNA", at positions 63 to 850 of the family's 1533-position model. The record is from RNAcentral. Lineage: Bacteria; Bacillati; Cyanobacteriota; Cyanophyceae; Pleurocapsales; Dermocarpellaceae.